Molecule: ribosomal RNA, 483 nt
Filed under: uncultured bacterium
Lineage: Bacteria
Description: partial 16S ribosomal RNA
Rfam family: Bacterial small subunit ribosomal RNA
Source: RNAcentral
GACGAACGCUGGCGGCGUGCUUAACACAUGCAAGUCGAACGCUGAAGCUCAGCUUUUGUUGGGUGGAUGAGUGGCGAACGGGUGAGUAACACGUGAGUAACCUGCCCCCUUCUUUGGGAUAACGCCCGGAAACGGGUGCUAAUACUGGAUAUUCACUGGUCUUCGCAUGGGGGUUGGUGGAAAGGGUUUUUCUGGUGGGGGAUGGGCUCGCGGCCUAUCAGCUUGUUGGUGGGGUGAUGGCCUACCAAGGCUUUGACGGGUAGCCGGCCUGAGAGGGUGACCGGUCACAUUGGGACUGAGAUACGGCCCAGACUCCUACGGGAGGCAGCAGUGGGGAAUAUUGCAAAAUGGGCGCAAGCCUGAUGCAGCGACGCCGCGUGAGGGAUGGAGGCCUUCGGGUUGUGAACCUCUUUCGCUCAUGGUCAAGCCGCAACAAUGGUUGUGGUGAGGGUAGUGGGUAAAGAAGCGCCGGCUAACUACGUG